RNAcentral lists this long non-coding RNA (1002 nucleotides) under Physcomitrium patens. RNAcentral describes it as "long non-coding RNA (PPAT_LNC006065)". Lineage: Eukaryota; Viridiplantae; Streptophyta; Bryopsida; Funariales; Funariaceae. The record is from RNAcentral.
UCAAAUUCAUCAAUUUUAUCCACAACCGCAUGUAUUGUUUUGUUUUCCAUACCCUUUUUGUAUUCUUUAACUUGUUGCUGUUGCAUGAAUAAGGCAAAAGCCUCAAACAUGCUUUUGGAGUUGGAAUCAAAAUACAUAUCAUGUCUUCUAAUAGUACUUCUACUUGUAGCUCCAAUUAAAGCAUGACCUAUAGUUCCUCCUUCAACUCUCUUGUCUUUGUUUUUAUAAUUCAAAUAACCUAAGAAAAUUUCCAUAUACCUUUCAUCUUAAGCUUUUUAAAUUGGCUUCACCAAAUAUGUUGUAUCACGUAAAGUCUUGCUCAAAAAUGUACUAGGCACCUUAUUGUAGAAUGUAGAAAUUACAACAAUAAAAUUCUAAUUCUAAUAGAAUACUAAAUAAAUUCUAAUUGAACCUUAACAAUAUUAAACAAGCUUUAAUUAAAUUCAAAAGAAACCUUAAAGAAAUAAAAUAAAUAAUAAGAAGUCUUAAAAAAAUUAUAAGAUAAUCAACAAUAAACCUUAAAAGAGUCUUUAAGAAGUCCUAAAAAAAUAUUAAAAUAAUCAUAAUAUAUCUAAAAUAAAUCUCAACCAAGUUCUAAUUUAAUUCUAGUCGAAACCUUAAUGGACUUCAAUCAAAUUCUAGAUAGUUUCUAAACUCUAUAUCAAAUCCUAAUCAAAUUUUAAACCUUAAAUCAAAUCCUAGACAAAUUCUAAAUCCUAAACCAAAUCCUUACCAAAUCCUAGAAAAAUCUCAAAUCCUAACUAAAUCCUAGCCAAAUCCUAAAUUCCAAAUUAAACUCUAGACAAAUCCUAAAUCCUAAAUCAAAUUCUAAUAAAAUCCUAAUCAAAUUUUAAAUCCUAAAUCAAAUUCUAAUCAAAUCUUAAAUCCUAAAUUAAAUCCUAAUCAAAUCCUAAAUCCUAAAUCAAAUCUUAAGGUACUUAAGAACCUUAAUAUCUUUUGAUUAAACCAUUGAUCUUAUUUAAAAUUUUAUACACCUCUCAA